RNAcentral lists this ribosomal RNA (468 nucleotides) under uncultured bacterium. Its description in RNAcentral is "partial 16S ribosomal RNA". It matches the Rfam family "Bacterial small subunit ribosomal RNA", at positions 28 to 507 of the family's 1533-position model. The record is from RNAcentral.
GAUGAACGCUGGCGGCGUGCUUAACACAUGCAAGUCGAACGGAAAGGCCCAAGCUUGCUUGGGUACUCGAGUGGCGAACGGGUGAGUAACACGUGGGUGAUCUGCCCUUCACUUCGGGAUAAGCCUGGGAAACUGGGUCUAAUACCGGAUAGGACGAUGGUUUGGAUGCCAUUGUGGAAAGUUUUUUCGGUGUGGGAUGAGCUCGCGGCCUAUCAGCUUGUUGGUGGGGUAAUGGCCUACCAAGGCGUCGACGGGUAGCCGGCCUGAGAGGGUGUACGGCCACAUUGGGACUGAGAUACGGCCCAGACUCCUACGGGAGGCAGCAAUGGGGAAUAUUGCACAAUGGGCGCAAGCCUGAUGCAGCGACGCCGCGUGGGGGAUGACGGCCUUCGGGUUGUAAACACCUUUCGCUAGGGACGAAGCGUUUUUGUGACGGUACCUGGAGAAGAAGCACCGGCUAACUACGUG